Molecule: small nuclear RNA, 102 nt
Organism: Sorex fumeus (smoky shrew)
Lineage: Eukaryota; Metazoa; Chordata; Mammalia; Eulipotyphla; Soricidae
Source: RefSeq, a predicted model, not a curated record
GUUAGUGCUCAAUUAACACAUACACUAAUAGGAACUAUACAGGGAUUAGCCUGGGCCCUGGUCAAGGAUGACACACACGUUUGUGAAACAUUACAUGUUUUG